Molecule: ribosomal RNA, 274 nt
Filed under: Hepatozoon canis
Lineage: Eukaryota; Apicomplexa; Hepatozoidae
Description: partial 18S ribosomal RNA
Rfam family: Eukaryotic small subunit ribosomal RNA
Source: RNAcentral
GAAUGAUGGAAAUUUAAACCCUUUUUAAAGUAUCAAUUGGAGGGCAAGUCUGGUGCCAGCAGCGCGGUAAUUCCAGCUCCAAUAGCGUAUAUUAAAAUUGUUGCAGUUAAAAAGCUCGUAGUUGAAGUUCUGCUGAAAGUAACCGGUCUGCUUUUAAUAAAAGUGGUAUCUUGGUAUGUAUUUAGCAAUGAUGUCCUUUGAAGUGUUUUUUACUUUAUUGUAAUAAAGCAUAUUCAGGACUUUUACUUUGAGAAAAUUAGAGUGUUUCUAGCAG